AGAGUGAACGCUGGCGGCAGGCCUAACACAUGCAAGUCGAACGGCAGCACAGUAAGAGCUUGCUCUUAUGGGUGGCGAGUGGCGGACGGGUGAGGAAUACAUCGGAAUCUGCCUAUUUGUGGGGGAUAACGUAGGGAAACUUACGCUAAUACCGCAUACGACCUACGGGUGAAAGCGGAGGACCUUCGGGCUUCGCGCAGAUAGAUGAGCCGAUGUCGGAUUAGCUAGUUGGUGGGUAAAGGCCCACCAAGGCGACGAUCCGUAGCUGGUCUGAGAGGAUGAUCAGCCACACUGGAACUGAGACACGGUCCAGACUCCUACGGAGGCAGCAGUGGGGAAUAUUGGACAAUGGGCGCAAGCCUGAUCCAGCCAUGCCGCGUGAGUGAAGAAGGCCCUUGGUUGUAAAGCUCUUUUGUGGGAAGAAAAGCAAUCGGUUAAUACCCGGUUGUUCUGACGGUAACCCAAAGAAUAAGACCAACCGCUAACUUCGUA
Molecule: ribosomal RNA, 492 nt
Filed under: uncultured soil bacterium
Lineage: Bacteria
Description: bacterial SSU rRNA
Rfam family: Bacterial small subunit ribosomal RNA
Source: RNAcentral